Molecule: ribosomal RNA, 370 nt
Filed under: uncultured organism
Description: bacterial SSU rRNA
Rfam family: Bacterial small subunit ribosomal RNA
Source: RNAcentral
CGGAGGUGGCAAGCGUUACUCGGAUUCAUUGGGUGUAAAGGGCAAGUAGGCGGUCUAUUAAGUGAGGGGUGAAAUCUUCCGACUCAAUCGGGAAACUGCCUUUCAAACUGAUAGACUUGAGGACGGAAGAGGAAAAUGGAAUUCUCGGUGUAAGGGUGAAAUCUGUAGAUAUCGAGAAGAACACCAGCGGCGAAGGCGAUUUUCUGGUCCGUACCUGACGCUAAAUUGCGAAAGCUAGGGGAGCAAACAGAAUUAGAUACUCUGGUAGUCCUAGCCGUAAACGAUGAGCACUAGGUGUUGGCCCUUCAUUGGGUCGGUGCCGCAGCUAACGCAUUAAGUGCUCCACCUGGGGACUACGGUCGCAAGGCUA